UACGUAGGUGGCAAGCGUUGUCCAGAUUUACUGGGCGUAAAGAGCGCGCAGGCGGCUGUGCAAGUCGCGUGUGAAAGCCCCCGGCUCAACUGGGGAGGGUCACGCGAUACUGCUCGACUUGAAGGCAGGAGAGGGAAGUGGAAUUCCCGGUGUAGUGGUGAAAUGCGUAGAUAUCGGGAGGAACACCAGUGGCGAAGGCGACUUCCUGGCCUGUUCUUGACGCUGAGGCGCGAAAGCUAGGGUAGCAAACGGG
Molecule: ribosomal RNA, 253 nt
Filed under: uncultured bacterium
Lineage: Bacteria
Description: partial 16S ribosomal RNA
Rfam family: Bacterial small subunit ribosomal RNA
Source: RNAcentral